UGGACAUUCUGAAUGAGUGGGCCGAUCGACUGCCUUGCCUGUGUCUCCCCAGAACCACGAGACCAACCUGGUGGUAAUGGUCGCCUCCUGCGUGGGGUUCGUGCUGUUGGUGUUGGUGGCUACGUUUCUCCUGCGAGGGAAAGUCACGAAAACCAGUUGUUUGCAGAAACACAAGAGAUUAGACAAACUUGGAGAAAGCAAAAAUGCUCUCAAUGACAUGCAUCAUGGACAGGACGAUGAAGAUGGGCUUUUCACUCUCUAACUUGCUACUUUUUCUUAGGAUUGAGCAAGGCCUUGAUGCUUGAAAUUUCCAUUUAAGUCUUGUGGUGUUAUAAAUUUC
Molecule: long non-coding RNA, 340 nt
Filed under: Ictidomys tridecemlineatus (thirteen-lined ground squirrel)
Lineage: Eukaryota; Metazoa; Chordata; Mammalia; Rodentia; Sciuridae
Description: lncRNA (ENSSTOG00000010107.3)
Source: RNAcentral